CCUACGGGUGGCUGCAGUGAGGAAUAUUGGUCAAUGGGCGAGAGCCUGAACCAGCCAAGUCGCGUGAAGGAUGACGGCCCUACGGGUUGUAAACUUCUUUUGUCAGGGAGCAAUUGAGUCCACGUGUGGGCUUAUCUAUAGUACCUGUAUAAAAAGCAUCGCCAAACUCCGUGCCAGCAGCCGCGUUAAUACGGAGGAUGCGACCUUUAUCCGGAUUUAUUGGGUUUAAAGGGUGCGUAGGCGGAAUAUCAAGUCAGCGGUAAAAAUUCGGGGCUCAACCCCGUCGUGCCGUUGAAACUGGUGUUCUUGAGUGGACGAGAAGUGUGCGGAAUGCGGGGUGUAGCGGUGAAAUGCAUAGAUAUCACGAAGAACUCCGAUUGCGAAGGCAGCAUACCGGCGCCCAACUGACGCUGAAGCACGAAAGCGUGGGUAUCGAACAGGAUUAGAUACCCCAGUAGUC
Molecule: ribosomal RNA, 460 nt
Filed under: uncultured bacterium
Lineage: Bacteria
Description: partial 16S ribosomal RNA
Rfam family: Bacterial small subunit ribosomal RNA
Source: RNAcentral